AGCUUGCUUAAAGAAUUCUUAGUGGCGGACGGGUGAGUAACGCGUGGGUAACCUACCCAUAAAGCCGGGACAACCCUUGGAAACGAGGGCUAAUACCGGAUAAUCUUAAGUUUUGGCAUCAGAAUUUAAGGAAAGAUGGCCUCUGAAGAUGCUAUCGAUUAUGGAUGGACCCGCGUCUGAUUAGCUAGUUGGUGGGGUAAAGGCCUACCAAGGCGACGAUCAGUAGCCGGCCUGAGAGGGUGAACGGCCACACUGGGACUGAGACACGGCCCAGACUCCUACGGGAGGCAGCAGUGGGGAAUCUUCCGCAAUGGACGAAAGUCUGACGGAGCAACGCCGCGUGUAUGAUGAAGGUCUUCGGAUUGUAAAGUACUGUCUUUGGGGAAGAACGGUCUUCUUGAAAAGAUUGAGGAGACAUGACGGUACCCAAGGAGGAAGCCCCGGCUAACUACGUGCCAGCAGCCGCGGUAAUACGUAGGGGGCAAGCGUUGUCCGGAAUUAUUGGGCGUAAAGGGCGCGUAGGCGGAUUUUUAAGUCCGGUGUGAAAGAUCAGGGCUCAACCCUGAGAGUGCAUCGGAAACUGGGAAUCUUGAGGACAGGAGAGGAAAGUGGAAUUCCUAGUGUAGCGGUGAAAUGCGUAGAUAUUAGGAGGAACACCAGUGGCGAAGGCGACUUUCUGGACUGUAACUGACGCUGAGGCGCGAAAGCGUGGG
Molecule: ribosomal RNA, 713 nt
Filed under: uncultured bacterium
Lineage: Bacteria
Description: bacterial SSU rRNA
Rfam family: Bacterial small subunit ribosomal RNA
Source: RNAcentral